GGGCACCGAUGUCUAAGUUCCUGUAUUUUCACCAAAUUCGAGGGUUUUAGACGUCGGCUGUGAGGGGCACCGACGUGAACUACUCUGACAGGAAACCAAAACGUCAAUCUUUUCAGCUUCAUAGACGUCGGAUCCCCUGAAACACCGACGCCCCAUUUCAUUUUAAAUAGACCGCAGACUCUUCACACCAUUCAAUUUCUGAUCUCGUCUUCAUCUCUUCUAAUUUUUCUCUGCUUCUC
RNAcentral lists this long non-coding RNA (239 nucleotides) under Vigna radiata. RNAcentral's name for it is "long non-coding RNA (VRAD_LNC007764)". Lineage: Eukaryota; Viridiplantae; Streptophyta; Magnoliopsida; Fabales; Fabaceae. The record is from RNAcentral.